UUUAGCUCCGAAUAGUAACUGCGU
This 24-nucleotide small nuclear RNA is filed under the name Arabidopsis thaliana (thale cress). Its description in RNAcentral is "snRNA_00306". Lineage: Eukaryota; Viridiplantae; Streptophyta; Magnoliopsida; Brassicales; Brassicaceae. The record is from RNAcentral.